UACGUAGGGACCAAGCGUUGUCCGGAAUCAUUGGGCGUAAAGAGCUCGUAGGCGGUUUGUCGCGUCUGCCGUGAAAGUCCGGGGCUCAACUCCGGAUCUGCGGUGGGUACGGGCAGACUAGAGUGAUGUAGGGGAGACUGGAAUUCCUGGUGUAGCGGUGAAAUGCGCAGAUAUCAGGAGGAACACCGAUGGCGAAGGCAGGUCUCUGGGCAUUAACUGACGCUGAGGAGCGAAAGCAUGGGGAGCGAACAGG
Molecule: ribosomal RNA, 253 nt
Filed under: uncultured bacterium
Lineage: Bacteria
Description: partial 16S ribosomal RNA
Rfam family: Bacterial small subunit ribosomal RNA
Source: RNAcentral